AUGCUAACUUUGACAGCACACAGGCUAAAAUUGGAAUGAUACAGAAAAGAUGCGUGGCCCUUGCUCAGGGAUGACAUGGAAAUUCAUGAAGCAUUCCAUAUUUCU
Molecule: small nuclear RNA, 105 nt
Organism: Trichosurus vulpecula (common brushtail)
Lineage: Eukaryota; Metazoa; Chordata; Mammalia; Diprotodontia; Phalangeridae
Source: RefSeq, a predicted model, not a curated record